UACGGGGGGGGUAAGCGUUGUUCGGAAUUACUGGGCGUAAAGGGCCCGUAGGCGGCCAACUAAGUCAGACGUGAAAUCCCUCAGCUUAACUGGGGAACUGCGUCUGAUACUGGAUGGCUUGGAUUCGGGAGAGGAAUGCGGAAUUCCAGGUGUAGCGGUGAAAUGCGUAGAUAUCUGGAGGAACACCGGUGGCGAAGGCGGCAUUCUGGACCGAUAUUGACGCUGAGGAGCGAAAGCCAGGGGAGCAAACGGG
RNAcentral lists this ribosomal RNA (253 nucleotides) under uncultured bacterium. RNAcentral describes it as "partial 16S ribosomal RNA". It matches the Rfam family "Bacterial small subunit ribosomal RNA", at positions 524 to 776 of the family's 1533-position model. The record is from RNAcentral.